Molecule: ribosomal RNA, 3042 nt
Filed under: Salmonella enterica subsp. enterica serovar Weltevreden
Lineage: Bacteria; Pseudomonadati; Pseudomonadota; Gammaproteobacteria; Enterobacterales; Enterobacteriaceae
Description: 23S ribosomal RNA
Rfam family: Bacterial large subunit ribosomal RNA
Source: RNAcentral
GGGUUGUGAGGUUAAGCGACUAAGCGUACACGGUGGAUGCCCUGGCAGUCAGAGGCGAUGAAGGGCGUGCUAAUCUGCGAUAAGCGCCGGUAAGGUGAUAUGAACCGUUAUAACCGGCGAUACCCGAAUGGGGAAACCCAGUGUGACUCGUCACACUAUCAUUAACUGAAUCCAUAGGUUAAUGAGGCGAACCGGGGGAACUGAAACAUCUAAGUACCCCGAGGAAAAGAAAUCAACCGAGAUUCCCCCAGUAGCGGCGAGCGAACGGGGAGGAGCCCAGAGCCUGAAUCAGCAUGUGUGUUAGUGGAAGCGUCUGGAAAGGCGCGCGAUACAGGGUGACAGCCCCGUACACAAAAGCGCAUGUGCUGUGAGCUCGAUGAGUAGGGCGGGACACGUGGUAUCCUGUCUGAAUAUGGGGGGACCAUCCUCCAAGGCUAAAUACUCCUGACUGACCGAUAGUGAACCAGUACCGUGAGGGAAAGGCGAAAAGAACCCCGGCGAGGGGAGUGAAAAAGAACCUGAAACCGUGUACGUACAAGCAGUGGGAGCCCCACCACCAAAGCGUUUCGCUUUGUGUGGUGCACAAAGAAGCGUAACGACAGCACUGAAUGACGGUUAACGGAGCGCAAGCGACGUUCAACAUACAAAGUCAAGCAGUGGAGCGCUUUGGGGUGGGGUGACUGCGUACCUUUUGUAUAAUGGGUCAGCGACUUAUAUUCUGUAGCAAGGUUAACCGAAUAGGGGAGCCGGAGGGAAACCGAGUCUUAACCGGGCGUUAAGUUGCAGGGUAUAGACCCGAAACCCGGUGAUCUAGCCAUGGGCAGGUUGAAGGUUGGGUAACACUAACUGGAGGACCGAACCGACUAAUGUUGAAAAAUUAGCGGAUGACCUGUGGCUGGGGGUGAAAGGCCAAUCAAACCGGGAGAUAGCUGGUUCUCCCCGAAAGCUAUUUAGGUAGCGCCUCGUGAAUUCAUCUCCGGGGGUAGAGCACUGUUUCGGCUAGGGGGCCAUCCCGGCUUACCAACCCGAUGCAAACUGCGAAUACCGGAGAAUGUUAUCACGGGAGACACACGGCGGGUGCUAACGUCCGUCGUGAAGAGGGAAACAACCCAGACCGCCAGCUAAGGUCCCAAAGUCAUGGUUAAGUGGGAAACGAUGUGGGAAGGCCCAGACAGCCAGGAUGUUGGCUUAGAAGCAGCCAUCAUUUAAAGAAAGCGUAAUAGCUCACUGGUCGAGUCGGCCUGCGCGGAAGAUGUAACGGGGCUAAACCAUGCACCGAAGCUGCGGCAGCGACGCUUAUGCGUUGUUGGGUAGGGGAGCGUUCUGUAAGCCUGUGAAGGUGGCCUGUGAGGGUUGCUGGAGGUAUCAGAAGUGCGAAUGCUGACAUAAGUAACGAUAAAGCGGGUGAAAAGCCCGCUCGCCGGAAGACCAAGGGUUCCUGUCCAACGUUAAUCGGGGCAGGGUGAGUCGACCCCUAAGGCGAGGCCGAAAGGCGUAGUCGAUGGGAAACGGGUUAAUAUUCCCGUACUUGGUGUUACUGCGAAGGGGGGACGGAGAAGGCUAUGUUGGCCGGGCGACGGUUGUCCCGGUUUAAGCGUGUAGGUGUGUGUUCCAGGUAAAUCCGGUUCACUUUAACACUGAGGCGUGAUGACGAGGCACUACGGUGCUGAAGCAACAAAUGCCCUGCUUCCAGGAAAAGCCUCUAAGCAUCAGGUAACAUCAAAUCGUACCCCAAACCGACACAGGUGGUCAGGUAGAGAAUACCAAGGCGCUUGAGAGAACUCGGGUGAAGGAACUAGGCAAAAUGGUGCCGUAACUUCGGGAGAAGGCACGCUGACACGUAGGUGAAGUGAUUUACUCAUGGAGCUGAAGUCAGUCGAAGAUACCAGCUGGCUGCAACUGUUUAUUAAAAACACAGCACUGUGCAAACACGAAAGUGGACGUAUACGGUGUGACGCCUGCCCGGUGCCGGAAGGUUAAUUGAUGGGGUCAGCGCAAGCGAAGCUCCUGAUCGAAGCCCCGGUAAACGGCGGCCGUAACUAUAACGGUCCUAAGGUAGCGAAAUUCCUUGUCGGGUAAGUUCCGACCUGCACGAAUGGCGUAAUGAUGGCCAGGCUGUCUCCACCCGAGACUCAGUGAAAUUGAACUCGCUGUGAAGAUGCAGUGUACCCGCGGCAAGACGGAAAGACCCCGUGAACCUUUACUAUAGCUUGACACUGAACAUUGAGCCUUGAUGUGUAGGAUAGGUGGGAGGCUUUGAAGCGUGGACGCCAGUCUGCGUGGAGCCGACCUUGAAAUACCACCCUUUAAUGUUUGAUGUUCUAACGUGGACCCGUUACCCGGGUUGCGGACAGUGUCUGGUGGGUAGUUUGACUGGGGCGGUCUCCUCCUAAAGAGUAACGGAGGAGCACGAAGGUUGGCUAAUCCUGGUCGGACAUCAGGAGGUUAGUGCAAUGGCAUAAGCCAGCUUGACUGCGAGCGUGACGGCGCGAGCAGGUGCGAAAGCAGGUCAUAGUGAUCCGGUGGUUCUGAAUGGAAGGGCCAUCGCUCAACGGAUAAAAGGUACUCCGGGGAUAACAGGCUGAUACCGCCCAAGAGUUCAUAUCGACGGCGGUGUUUGGCACCUCGAUGUCGGCUCAUCACAUCCUGGGGCUGAAGUAGGUCCCAAGGGUAUGGCUGUUCGCCAUUUAAAGUGGUACGCGAGCUGGGUUUAGAACGUCGUGAGACAGUUCGGUCCCUAUCUGCCGUGGGCGCUGGAGAACUGAGGGGGGCUGCUCCUAGUACGAGAGGACCGGAGUGGACGCAUCACUGGUGUUCGGGUUGUCAUGCCAAUGGCACUGCCCGGUAGCUAAAUGCGGAAGAGAUAAGUGCUGAAAGCAUCUAAGUACGAAACUUGCCCCGAGAUGAGUUCUCCCUGAGACUUUAGGUCUCCUGAAGGAACGUUGAAGACGACGACGUUGAUAGGCCGGGUGUGUAAGCGCAGCGAUGCGUUGAGCUAACCGGUACUAAUGAACCGUGAGGCUUAACCUUACAACGCCGAAG